Molecule: ribosomal RNA, 521 nt
Filed under: Staphylococcus aureus
Lineage: Bacteria; Bacillati; Bacillota; Bacilli; Caryophanales; Staphylococcaceae
Description: bacterial SSU rRNA
Rfam family: Bacterial small subunit ribosomal RNA
Source: RNAcentral
UUCCCCUUCGGGGGACAAAGUGACAGGUGGUGCAUGGUUGUCGUCAGCUCGUGUCGUGAGAUGUUGGGUUAAGUCCCGAAACGAGCGCAACCCUUAAGCUUAGUUGCCAUCAUUAAGUUGGGCACUCUAAGUUGACUGCCGGUGACAAACCGGAGGAAGGUGGGGAUGACGUCAAAUCAUCAUGCCCCUUAUGAUUUGGGCUACACACGUGCUACAAUGGACAAUACAAAGGGCAGCGAAACCGCGAGGUCAAGCAAAUCCCAUAAAGUUGUUCUCAGUUCGGAUUGUAGUCUGCAACUCGACUACAUGAAGCUGGAAUCGCUAGUAAUCGUAGAUCAGCAUGCUACGGUGAAUACGUUCCCGGGUCUUGUACACACCGCCCGUCACACCACGAGAGUUUGUAACACCCGAAGCCGGUGGAGUAACCUUUUAGGAGCUAGCCGUCGAAGGUGGGACAAAUGAUUGGGGUGAAGUCGUAACAAGGUAGCCGUAUCGGAAGGUGCGGCUGGAUCACCUCCUUU